UGGGAUAGCAAGGAGUUAGACUCAAG
RNAcentral lists this unclassified non-coding RNA (26 nucleotides) under Mus musculus (house mouse). RNAcentral describes it as "oocyte_clustered_small_RNA10319". The record is from RNAcentral. Lineage: Eukaryota; Metazoa; Chordata; Mammalia; Rodentia; Muridae.